Long non-coding RNA from Megalobrama amblycephala (Wuchang bream), 1626 nucleotides. RefSeq lists it as uncharacterized. Lineage: Eukaryota; Metazoa; Chordata; Actinopteri; Cypriniformes; Xenocyprididae. The record is from RefSeq and is a predicted model, not a curated record. The transcript is spliced from 3 exons.
CAGCACAUUAGCUGCACUUGGCACUUCUUCCUCAUGUGAAGGAAGAAGCGGCGAGAAUCAGAUGGAUACAUUUUGCCUGGGGUGGGGGGUGGUUCUGGAGGAGGGGGUUGUGAAGGUUGAGUGGCUGUCGGGUUUUUCCUUCAUUUUUUUUUUUCUCUUUUGGUUCAGUUCAAGAGUGCCAGUGGGAAGCAGAGACACCUGGUGCUGCCUUCAAGCAGUAGCUAAGUGGAAAGCAGCAACUUGGAAAGAGGAAUUUCAGCAGAAACAUCUGUGUCAAAGUUGAUAUACUUCUAUUAAACGUGACAACAACGCUUUCCUCCGGAAACCGGAACGCAGAGAACGGAACCGAGUUCAGCAGGAGCCAGGCGGCUGUGAGGUCGGAGAGGUGCAUUAUUUAGUGGGACAGAAGGAGUUCGCGGGCUGGAGGAGCGAGUGUGUUCACAGGACAGGAGGAGAGAUGCGGGUGGAGGGGAGGACCUGUUCCUGUGACAAUAUCUCCAAAAACCAAUGACAGGUCUUCAAUCCCCAUCUGUGUCCCAGCCUCUUUAAGGUGUCAGACGCUUCAAGCAAUUGUCACUGCCCAAGACGAAGAACUCCUAACCUCACCUGCUAUGCCUCCUCUCUUCUUCUGUGUCACUCAAGAGAGGUGUCCAGCGGUGACACCUGCCAGAGGGCAUCAGUGUUCUACUUAGACUUUAUUUUUUGCCUCUGUCAAAUACUCAAGAAUGUCCUUACAGUCGACAGCCUCAAAGAUUACAGUUAAUGUAAUGCCCCAUAUUUAAAGUCACUGUAGAAAUCUAUAGAUGUACUGCUCAAAAUUAAGACAAAAUAUCCUGUUUAAUUGUUCAGCCCCUCGUGAUAGAGGGUUAUCAGAAUAACGCAUCAUAAUCAUAUCAGUCUCUCUCAUUCAACGCUUCAAAAGGCGAUUUUGCGAGCAAGAAAUCUGCAAUAAAUAAAAAUAGUUAGCACCGUUCCAAACUCGCCCCAGACCGAUGCAAAACACGGCAUGUGAAAUGGAAUGUAAAAAAACAAAAUGAGAGAAGGUCAGCCAGGAAUUCAAAUGGAAGACAUUUGCAGUUCCAACAAGACCGGGAGUGUGAGCACACAUCUGAACCUCAGUCCUUGCUGGAAUAAUUGCGGGAGCACAUCUGGUGCACUUUGAAAAUGAAUUGGCCCAGCACUGCUAUGAUAAUGACUGCACGGUAGUCUAAUAAGUUAGGGAAUGCUGCAUUCCAAAUGUCACCCUGGGUCGGUCCAGCACUUACUUAGUUCAUUUAGUUGCAUAGAGUUUGAUUCCAGCUCCCUUUGCUACAAACUCCAUUCCCUGAUGCAUUUGCUUUGCAAUUAAAUGUAACAAAACACUUAUUUUGCCUUCCUCUAGUUUGUUUAAACUCCCAGUAAUAAGGUCCCAUUAAGUUAUUAACUAACAAUGAGCGAUACAUUUGUUGCAACAUUUAUCCAUCUUUGUUAACAUUAGUUACUAAAAAUACAACUGUUCAUUGUAAUUUCAUGUUAGCUUGGGUCCAUUAAAUAAUAUUUACAGAUACAGCGUUUGACUUUAAUAAUGUGUUAGUAAAUGCUGAAAUUAAUGUUAACAAAGAUUACGUUCAUGUAGUUAACUAAUAU